RNAcentral lists this ribosomal RNA (713 nucleotides) under Bacillus subtilis subsp. subtilis. RNAcentral's name for it is "bacterial SSU rRNA". It matches the Rfam family "Bacterial small subunit ribosomal RNA", at positions 41 to 736 of the family's 1533-position model. The record is from RNAcentral. Lineage: Bacteria; Bacillati; Bacillota; Bacilli; Caryophanales; Bacillaceae.
GGGGUGCCUAAUACAUGCAAGUCGAGCGGACAGAUGGGAGCUUGCUCCCUGAUGUUAGCGGCGGACGGGUGAGUAACACGUGGGUAACCUGCCUGUAAGACUGGGAUAACUCCGGGAAACCGGGGCUAAUACCGGAUGGUUGUUUGAACCGCAUGGUUCAAACAUAAAAGGUGGCUUCGGCUACCACUUACAGAUGGACCCGCGGCGCAUUAGCUAGUUGGUGAGGUAACGGCUCACCAAGGCAACGAUGCGUAGCCGACCUGAGAGGGUGAUCGGCCACACUGGGACUGAGACACGGCCCAGACUCCUACGGGAGGCAGCAGUAGGGAAUCUUCCGCAAUGGACGAAAGUCUGACGGAGCAACGCCGCGUGAGUGAUGAAGGUUUUCGGAUCGUAAAGCUCUGUUGUUAGGGAAGAACAAGUACCGUUCGAAUAGGGCGGUACCUUGACGGUACCUAACCAGAAAGCCACGGCUAACUACGUGCCAGCAGCCGCGGUAAUACGUAGGUGGCAAGCGUUGUCCGGAAUUAUUGGGCGUAAAGGGCUCGCAGGCGGUUUCUUAAGUCUGAUGUGAAAGCCCCCGGCUCAACCGGGGAGGGUCAUUGGAAACUGGGGAACUUGAGUGCAGAAGAUGAGAGUGGAAUUCCACGUGUAGCGGUGAAAUGCGUAGAGAUGUGGAUGAACUUCUUUGUCUAAUGCGACUCUCUGGUCUG